AACGAACGCUGGCGGCAUGCCUGACACAUGCAAGUCGAACGAAGCCUUCGGGCUUAGUGGCGCACGGGUGCGUAACGCGUGGGAAUCUGCCCUUGGGUUCGGAAUAACAGUUAGAAAUGACUGCUAAUACCGAAUGAUGUCUUCGGACCAAAGAUUUAUCGCCCAAGGAUGAGCCCGCGUCGGAUUAGCUGGUUGGUGAGGUAAAGGCUCACCAAGGCGACGAUCCGUAGCUGGUCUGAGAGGAUGAUCAGCCACACUGGGACUGAGACACGGCCCAGACUCCUACGGGAGGCAGCAGUGGGGAAUAUUGGACAAUGGGCGAAAGCCUGAUCCAGCAAUGCCGCGUGAGUGAUGAAGGCCUUAGGGUUGUAAAGCUCUUUUACCCGGGAUGAUAAUGACAGUACCGGGAGAAUAAGCUCCGGCUAACUCCGUGCCAGCAGCCGCGGUAA
Molecule: ribosomal RNA, 449 nt
Filed under: uncultured bacterium
Lineage: Bacteria
Description: bacterial SSU rRNA
Rfam family: Bacterial small subunit ribosomal RNA
Source: RNAcentral